This 328-nucleotide ribosomal RNA is filed under the name uncultured bacterium. Its description in RNAcentral is "bacterial SSU rRNA". It matches the Rfam family "Bacterial small subunit ribosomal RNA", at positions 29 to 335 of the family's 1533-position model. The record is from RNAcentral.
AGCGAACGCUGGCGGCGUACUUAACACAUGCAAGUCGAACGAGGAUCGCUUGUGUAGCAAUACAUAGGCGGUUCUAGUGGCGCACGGGUGAGUAACACGUGGGCAACCUGCCCUUGAGUCCGGGAUACCCUCUCGAAAGGGAGGCUAAUACUGGAUACGUUCCUCGGUCGCAAGGCCUGGGAGGAAAGGUAGGCGAAAGACUGCCGCUCUUGGAGGGGCGUCGGCGGCCUAUCAGCUAGUUGGUGAGGUAACGGCGUCACCAAGGCUAUGACGGGUAGCGUGGUCUGAGAGGACGACCAGCCACACGGGAACUGAGACACGGUCCCGA